AACGAACGCUGGCGGCGUGGAUAAGACAUGCAAGUGGGACGCUGAUUAGCAGGUAGCAAUAUUUGCUGGUUGGAGUCGCGUAAGGGUGCGUAACACGUGGGUAAUUUGCCGCGAAGUCAGGAAUAACUCGUCGAAAGGCGAGCUAAUACCUGAUGUGGUUGAAGGCAGGCAUCUGUUUUCAACUGAAGCCGGGGAUCGUAAGACCUGGCGCUUCGCGAUAAGCCCGCGGCCUAUCAGCUAGUUGGUGGGGUAACGGCUCACCAAGGCUUAGACGGGUAGCUGGUCUUAGAGGACGACCAGCCACACUGGAACUGAGACACGGUCCAGACACCUACGGGUGGCAG
This 344-nucleotide ribosomal RNA is filed under the name uncultured Verrucomicrobiota bacterium. RNAcentral describes it as "bacterial SSU rRNA". It matches the Rfam family "Bacterial small subunit ribosomal RNA", at positions 29 to 351 of the family's 1533-position model. The record is from RNAcentral. Lineage: Bacteria; Pseudomonadati; Verrucomicrobiota.